This 890-nucleotide ribosomal RNA is filed under the name uncultured bacterium. RNAcentral describes it as "bacterial SSU rRNA". It matches the Rfam family "Bacterial small subunit ribosomal RNA", at positions 8 to 853 of the family's 1533-position model. The record is from RNAcentral.
AGAGUUUGAUCAUGGCUCAGGAUGAACGCUGGCGGCGUGCCUAAUACAUGCAAGUCGAACGCUUUGUGCUUAAUUGAUAUGAUGAGCUUGCUCUGAUUUGAUUUUUUGAUUUCAAAGAGUGGCGAACGGGUGAGUAACACGUGGGUAACCUACCUCUUAGCAGGGGAUAACAUUUGGAAACAAGUGCUAAUACCGUAUAAUACCAACAACCGCAUGGUUGUUGGUUGAAAGAUGGUUCUGCUAUCACUAAGAGAUGAACCCGCGGUGCAUUAGCUAGUUGGUAAGGUAAUGGCUUACCAAGGCAAUGAUGCAUAGCCGAGUUGAGAGACUGAUCGGCCACAAUGGGACUGAGACACGGCCCAUACUCCUACGGGAGGCAGCAGUAGGGAAUCUUCCACAAUGGGCGCAAGCCUGAUGGAGCAACGCCGCGUGUGUGAUGAAGGGUUUCGGCUCGUAAAACACUGUUAUAAGAGAAGAACGGCACUGAGAGUAACUGUUCAGUGUGUGACGGUAUCUUACCAGAAAGGAACGGCUAAAUACGUGCCAGCAGCCGCGGUAAUACGUAUGUUCCAAGCGUUAUCCGGAUUUAUUGGGCGUAAAGCGAGCGCAGACGGUUAUUUAAGUCUGAAGUGAAAGCCCUCAGCUCAACUGAGGAAUUGCUUUGGAAACUGGAUGACUUGAGUGCAGUAGAGGAAAGUGGAACUCCAUGUGUAGCGGUGAAAUGCGUAGAUAUAUGGAAGAACACCAGUGGCGAAGGCGGCUUUCUGGACUGUAACUGACGUUGAGGCUCGAAAGUGUGGGUAGCAAACAGGAUUAGAUACCCUGGUAGUCCACACCGUAGACGAUGAGUGCUAGAUGUUCGAGGGUUUCCGCCCUUGAGUGUCGCAGCU